Long non-coding RNA from Lycium ferocissimum, 645 nucleotides. RefSeq lists it as uncharacterized. The record is from RefSeq and is a predicted model, not a curated record. Lineage: Eukaryota; Viridiplantae; Streptophyta; Magnoliopsida; Solanales; Solanaceae. The transcript is spliced from 2 exons.
UUGAUUCGCAUUUCCGGAAACACUGAUCAUAUAAAGUUCCCAUCCCAUAUCUUUCCCAAACAAGUAAUCUUUACAACGUAUAAUGGUUCGAUUAUUGUCUUCAAGAUGAUGUUAACGCUCGAGAGGGGUCAGGAAGUACCUCAAGAUGAAGUCUUCAAGAUUACUCACACGAGGAAGGCGAAGAACGCCGAUGGUACGGACCAAUGGAUUGAGAGACAACGUAGGUCACAAGACAACGUAGUUCAUGCUCUUGUUUAUGAGGAUAGUGGGAAGGAAUCGGAUCAUGUCUCUAACACCCAACGUUGACUUUUUUGAUUCAUAUACUUUUGGAUUGUAAUAUUGCUAUGUUUUCUUGGAUAUGUAUAUUUUUUUUAUGAUAGUUUUAAUUCGAAUUAGAUGUACUUUUGAAUGUGAAUUAGAUUGUAGGAAGUAGUUUAUGGAUGUUUAAGUGUUUGAAUGUAGAAAGUAGUUUAUGGUUGUUUAACUUUACGAUGUUUAAGUGUUUGAAUGUAGUUUUAAGGAUAUUUAGAAGUACUUUAAAUUGAAACUUGAGGUUGAAUUUGAUUUUAGAAUGUGAAGUUUAUGAUUGUAGAAGUACUUUGAUGAAUUGGACGUGUUGAUGAAUUGCAUUGUUGAUUUGGUUGA